Molecule: long non-coding RNA, 627 nt
Organism: Quercus robur (English oak)
Lineage: Eukaryota; Viridiplantae; Streptophyta; Magnoliopsida; Fagales; Fagaceae
Exons: 3
Source: RefSeq, a predicted model, not a curated record
UAUUGCUUAUUAUGGUUGCUGCCAGAGUGGCUAACAAUUGCACACAGUAGUGGGGGUGUCAAUUUGAUUCCUAUCUGAUUGGAGUUCAUUAAAAUUUUGAUGCAAGGACCUUACUUAUCUCCCUGAAGUGGAUUUCAUGCGUUUGAUCCCCAAAUUGCUAUAUGCCUAUCCAUUCAUAACUGUCUUAAAGUUAAAUAAAUAGAUGUGUUGAGGGCGACGACACAUCCUGGUCCAAAGAUGGGGAAUGGUUUAAAAAGAGGAAUCUGUUUUGAAGUUCACAUAUAUAUUAUCGCAACAGUAUGUGUGGUACGUUUUCUUAAACUUAAUCCUCAUCUCUUCUCUAAUGCUUUACCAUAAAUCAACCGAUUCUAUUCAUAAUUGCCCUACUUUCUUCCUAUCUCAGUUUAGUUUCCCCCAAUCUUUUUCUUUGUUAAUGAACUAUAUUGUCUUGAUGUGCAUGUGCUAGUGACAACAUAUAUAUUGUAUUUAGCUGGAAGAACAAUUUGAAUAAUUCAAUAGAGUUUAAUAGAAGUUUUUAAAGUUGAUGAAAUGGGAAGAUUCUACUUAGGAACAGCAUAUAGCAAUUGUGAUUCCUCAUAGCUGAUGUAUGUGCUCCCAUACAAUGCC